AGAAGCAGAUGGAGGUUAUGGAAAUGGAGGUGAUGGAGGCCCGUCUCAUCCGGGCAGCGGAGAUCAACGGGGAAGUGGAUGAUGAUGAUGCAGGUGGCGAGUGGCGGCUGAAGUAUGAGCGGGCUGUGCGGGAGGUGGACUUCACCAAGAAACGGCUCCAGCAGGAGUUUGAGGACAAGCUGGAGGUGGAGCAGCAGAACAAGAGGCAGCUGGAACGGCGGGUGAGGCUGGGGAGGAGCUGAGGCCUGUGCCUGGGAGGGCCAGGAGAGGACUGGUGCCUUGUGUCGGUCCAGUGAACGCUGGGGGCAGGCAGGCCUGGCUGGAAUGGAUCGGGGAGGCUGGCAUGUUAGCUUCUUGGUGCAGGGGCAAUCAGGAGCAAGCUAUCAUUAGAGCUUCUUCAGUUCCCUGGGAGACCCGACUUCCUCCCGCAUCCCUGGGUCUUCCCCUCACUCACCCACUUCCCUCUCCUCACCUUCUCCACCUAUGCUUCUGGGUCUCUCUGUAUAUGCACCCCAUCUUGGCCCCUAGCUCGGGGACCUGCAGGCAGAUAGUGAGGAGAGUCAGCGGGCUCUGCAGCAGCUCAAGAAGAAGUGCCAGCGACUGACGGCUGAGCUGCAAGACACCAAGCUGCACCUGGAGGGCCAGCAGGUCCGCAACCACGAACUGGAGAAGAAGCAGAGGAGGUUUGACAGUGAGCUCUCGCAGGCGCAUGAGGAGGCCCAGCGGGAGAAGCUGCAGCGGGAGAAGCUGCAGCGGGAGAAGGACAUGCUCCUCGCUGAGGCUUUCAGCCUGAAGCAGCAACUAGAGGAAAAAGACAUGGACAUUGCAGGGUUCACCCAGAAGGUUGUGUCUCUAGAGGCAGAGCUCCAGGACAUUUCUUCCCAAGAGUCCAAGGAUGAGGCUUCUCUAGCCAAGGUCAAGAAACAGCUCCGGGACCUGGAGGCCAAAGUCAAGGAUCAGGAAGAAGAGCUGGAUGAGCAGGCAGGGACCAUCCAGAUGCUGGAACAGGCCAAGCUGCGUCUGGAGAUGGAGAUGGAGCGGAUGAGACAGACCCAUUCUAAGGAGAUGGAGAGUCGGGAUGAGGAGGUGGAGGAGGCCCGGCAGUCGUGUCAGAAGAA
This 1118-nucleotide small RNA is filed under the name Pan troglodytes (chimpanzee). Its description in RNAcentral is "retained intron". Lineage: Eukaryota; Metazoa; Chordata; Mammalia; Primates; Hominidae. The record is from RNAcentral.